RNAcentral lists this ribosomal RNA (253 nucleotides) under uncultured bacterium. RNAcentral's name for it is "partial 16S ribosomal RNA". It matches the Rfam family "Bacterial small subunit ribosomal RNA", at positions 524 to 776 of the family's 1533-position model. The record is from RNAcentral.
UACGAAGGGGGCUAGCGUUGCUCGGAUUCAUUGGGCGUAAAGGGUGCGUAGGCGGCGCGGUAAGUCGGGUGUGAAAUCUUGGAGCUUAACUCCGAAACUGCAUUCGAUACUGCCGUGCUUGAGGACUGGAGAGGAGACUGGAAUUUACGGUGUAGCGGUGAAAUGCGUAGAUAUCGUAAGGAAGACCAGUGGCGAAGGCGGGUCUCUGGACAGUUCCUGACGCUGAGGCACGAAGGCCAGGGGAGCAAACGGG